Molecule: transfer RNA, 75 nt
Filed under: Nostoc sp. FACHB-152
Lineage: Bacteria; Bacillati; Cyanobacteriota; Cyanophyceae; Nostocales; Nostocaceae
Description: tRNA-Ile
Rfam family: tRNA
About the family: Transfer RNA (tRNA) molecules are approximately 80 nucleotides in length. Their secondary structure includes four short double-helical elements and three loops (D, anti-codon, and T loops). Further hydrogen bonds mediate the characteristic L-shaped molecular structure. tRNAs have two regions of fundamental functional importance: the anti-codon, which is responsible for specific mRNA codon recognition, and the 3' end, to which the tRNAs corresponding amino acid is attached (by aminoacyl-tRNA synthetases). tRNAs cope with the degeneracy of the genetic code in two manners: having more than one tRNA (with a specific anti-codon) for a particular amino acid; and 'wobble' base-pairing, i.e. permitting non-standard base-pairing at the 3rd anti-codon position.
Source: RNAcentral
UGCAGCGUCACCUAACGGCAAGGUACUCGGCUCAUAACCGAGAGUAUAUGGGUUCAACUCCCAUCGCUGCUACCA